GCGGUCCUGACUGUUCUGGCUUGGACUACAUAUUACAAAGGCAACGGAGAAAACUUGGACCCCUGGCUCCGGUUCCGGGACCUUUUGGUUCCACCUGAAGAAGGCGGCGCAGGUCACUGCGGGAGCCUCUGCAGCCCCAGCCCGCCGCCCGCGUGGUACCCUGCGUGGCGGUGAGAGUGGGGCUGCAGGAGGCGCUCAGAGCGCGGAGGCCCCCAGGCGGGCCGGGCGAGUCUCCCGCCUCCUCAGGCCCUAGGGUGCUGGAGCUGCGGAGGAGGGGCCCGUCUCUAGGAGACAGGCGGGGAGCGUGAGAGACCGCGCAGCGGCGACAGGACCGGCUUGCCUGUGUGACGUGGGUGCAGUUGCGGGACUGUGAGGGGUCUUGGUUCUUUUGACUUUGCUCUUCUGGUAGAGAAACGCCAAGGACUGAUCAACUCUUGCCAGUCUCAAACCAUGUCCUAUAUUUGGAUUCAAGAUGUGAAAUAAUCAGCGAUGGGAAAAUGCAGCUUUAUAGGAAACACUCAUGUGUUACUCUCCAUCAGAGAAUUCAUAAUGGACAGAAACCAUAUGAGUGGAACACAACAGAUUUGAGAAGCCUCGGAUUAAGGAAUAAUUUAUGAAGCUCCGUUGACUACCGUGGAGAGAUCAUAAUUUGGGGUUCAAGAUUCCAGUCUGUGUUUUUCCAGAGGUGCCCUGAGGAGCAGGGAAGCAUGGCUAUUGUGGAUGUAAAAGCCAUGUUCAAGCCAGGUAUGGUGGUAUGUGCCUGCAGUCCCAGCUACUCGGGAGGCUGAGAUGGGAGGAUCCACUUGAGCCCAGGAGGUCAAGUCCAGCCUGGACAACUAUCAAGACCCCAUCUCUAAAAAUAAAUAAAU
This 869-nucleotide long non-coding RNA is filed under the name Homo sapiens (human). RNAcentral describes it as "HSALNT0259520". The record is from RNAcentral. Lineage: Eukaryota; Metazoa; Chordata; Mammalia; Primates; Hominidae.